GAUGAAGAACGUAGCGAAAUGCGAUAAGUAAUGCGAAUUGCAGAAUCCGUGAGUCAUCGAAUCUUUGAACGCACAUUGCGCCCUUCGGUAUUCCGAAGGGCAUGCCUGUUCGAGCGUCAUUAUCACCCCUCAAGCCCCGGCUUGGUGUUGGGCUCUCGGUGGUCGUCUCCGACCACCCGUCUCAAAGAUAGUGACGGCGUCCCAGAGGGAACCGGUACGAGGAGCUUUCACGAGCAUGUACGCGGGACGACUCUGCGGGCGACGGUCUUAUUUACUUUAUAUACAAGUGUUGACCUCGGAUCAGGUAGGAAUACCCGCUGAACUUAAGCAUAUCAAUAAGCGGAGGA
RNAcentral lists this unclassified non-coding RNA (347 nucleotides) under soil metagenome. RNAcentral describes it as "partial contains 5.8S ribosomal RNA, internal transcribed spacer 2, and large subunit ribosomal RNA". The stretch from base 1 to 119 matches the Rfam family "5.8S ribosomal RNA", at positions 35 to 154 of the family's 154-position model. The record is from RNAcentral.